AUUAGGGAACUAGAUUAACUAUGC
RNAcentral lists this non-coding RNA (24 nucleotides) under Rattus norvegicus (Norway rat). Lineage: Eukaryota; Metazoa; Chordata; Mammalia; Rodentia; Muridae. The record is from RNAcentral.